This 253-nucleotide ribosomal RNA is filed under the name uncultured bacterium. RNAcentral describes it as "partial 16S ribosomal RNA". It matches the Rfam family "Bacterial small subunit ribosomal RNA", at positions 524 to 776 of the family's 1533-position model. The record is from RNAcentral.
UACGGGGGGGGCAAGCGUUGUUCGGAAUUACUGGGCGGAAAGGGCUCGUAGGUGGCCAACUAAGUCAUACGGGAAAUCCCUCGGCUUAACCGGGGAACUGCGUCUGAUACUGGAUGGCUUGAGGUUGGGAGAGGGAUGCGGAAUUCCAGGUGUAGCGGUGAAAUGCGUAGAUAUCUGGAGGAACACCGGUGGCGAAGGCGGCAUCCUGGACCAAUUCUGACACUGAGGAGCGAAAGCCAGGGGAGCAAACGGG